RNAcentral lists this unclassified non-coding RNA (213 nucleotides) under soil metagenome. Its description in RNAcentral is "partial contains 5.8S ribosomal RNA, internal transcribed spacer 2, and large subunit ribosomal RNA". The record is from RNAcentral.
AACAUCGCGCACCUGCGGGAACCUGCGGAAGGAUCAUUACAGAGUUAUCCAACUCCCAAACCCAUGUGAACUUAUCUCUUUGUUGCCUCGGCGCAAGCUACCCGGGACCCCGCGCCCCGGGCGGCCCGCCGGCGGACAAACCAAAACUCUUGUUAUCUUAGUUGAUUCUCUGAGCGUCUUAUUUAAUAAGUCAAAACUUUCAACAACGGAUCU